RNAcentral lists this ribosomal RNA (546 nucleotides) under Salmonella enterica subsp. enterica serovar Give. Its description in RNAcentral is "partial 23S ribosomal RNA". It matches the Rfam family "Bacterial large subunit ribosomal RNA", at positions 1 to 577 of the family's 2925-position model. The record is from RNAcentral. Lineage: Bacteria; Pseudomonadati; Pseudomonadota; Gammaproteobacteria; Enterobacterales; Enterobacteriaceae.
GGGUUGUGAGGUUAAGCGACUAAGCGUACACGGUGGAUGCCCUGGCAGUCAGAGGCGAUGAAGGACGUGCUAAUCUGCGAUAAGCGCCGGUAAGGUGAUAUGAACCGUUAUAACCGGCGAUUUCCGAAUGGGGAAACCCAGUGUGACUCGUCACACUAUCAUUAACUGAAUCCAUAGGUUAAUGAGGCGAACCGGGGGAACUGAAACAUCUAAGUACCCCGAGGAAAAGAAAUCAACCGAGAUUCCCCCAGUAGCGGCGAGCGAACGGGGAGGAGCCCAGAGCCUGAAUCAGCAUGUGUGUUAGUGGAAGCGUCUGGAAAGGCGCGCGAUACAGGGUGACAGCCCCGUACACAAAAGCGCAUGUGCUGUGAGCUCGAUGAGUAGGGCGGGACACGUGGUAUCCUGUCUGAAUAUGGGGGGACCAUCCUCCAAGGCUAAAUACUCCUGACUGACCGAUAGUGAACCAGUACCGUGAGGGAAAGGCGAAAAGAACCCCGGCGAGGGGAGUGAAAAAGAACCUGAAACCGUGUACGUACAAGCAGUGGG